This 110-nucleotide non-coding RNA is filed under the name Tupaia belangeri chinensis (Chinese tree shrew). The record is from RNAcentral. Lineage: Eukaryota; Metazoa; Chordata; Mammalia; Scandentia; Tupaiidae.
GUGUUUUAUGAAAAGAGGUUAGCACUCCCCUUAACAAGGAUGGAAGAGGCCAUUGGGUCUAACAAAUAAAUAUAGUUGCUACCUACUUUGUGGCAUCUAGCCAGUGUUUU